CUUGGUGCGCCACAACAGCGACAUCAGGAGAAAUUGGUAGACAUUUACAUUAUAAGUAGUGGCAUUCGUUAGUCAGGCACAUUUUUAGAUUAAUGAGAUCAAUAUUUCGACAGCUUAGGUUCUCUUUAGUUUAAAUGAUUUAGCAAGAUGCACACGUCAGGUAGGAGUAUUCAGAGGAGUGACAAAGAAGGAAAACCUGAAAUGUACAAUCCUAAUAUAAACAAGACUGUGCUGUUCAAUAUAUGCUAAAUAUGUGUCUAUAGUGUGACAUGAAAGACAGUGCACGUUUUAUAUUGUUAAAGAGAGCAAGAUAUAACAGAUUGUGAAACCACUGGCAAUGAUUAUGAACAAAAAUAACAUAUUAUAAUCAAUGGAAAGGAACUGCUGUGAUACUGUAAGCUAAAUGCUUAGGUAAGCCUAGUGUCUGUCUUUAUGUCUAAAUCUUGCUCUAGCGUGUGAGAAGUAUUUAAAGUUAACUGCAUAAUAACCCAUAACAUUGGCAAAAAGUUGCCCCAAGCCAUAGAUAAAGUUCAGUGAUACUUGGGCUACAAACCCGACAAGAUAUCAGGGUGUUCUGGCGUUAUCUGGUAUCAGCUGGGGAAUGCGCCCACAUGGAUCAGUUCGAGGUCUGUGAGCUGUGGGGCAGGGUGAAAUACACUUCAGCCUAUGCCCAGUGUGGGAAUGUCUCGAUUGCUGGCACAGCUGGCCCUGUCUAUGAGGUCCCUGGGCUUGAUUCCAGCUCUAGCUGUAGUCAGCGAGGCUUUCUCCUGUGUGGCCUCUUGUAGUGCAGCGUGAUCCUUGAGAGGUUGCUUCGUGCCGCUCUGGUCAGAGGUUCUUGGGUCUGAUGAGUUGCUAGCAGGUAGGCUUCGCUUGGUGCACAUGCUUCUUUGUAGGUGGGAGCGAGUGCAUGCGUUCAACUGGCAUGGCGCCGUUUCCCGCCUUGUCGAUCUCUGGUGUCUGCAUCGCCGGACGGCCGCCCUGGAUGCCCGAGGUUGGUGCCCAUAAUGGCGUCGUCGGGUAACGGGUCUCAUCCAGGAGGCUACCGCUUUCACCGCCUGGUGGUGGGCCAUUCCUCGCUCACAGAGCAUCGCCCAGAAGCUCUUACAAAGCCGGUCCAGAGCCAUCAGGGGAUGUGUAGGUGACUGGGUGCUUGUGUUUUUCAUUUUUGGCCCUUGCUUGGAGGCCAUUUUGGUUAUGCCUUGACGGUCUUGUGUUCCAGCGGGCUGUGUAAUUGUGAGGCCCACCAGCAGUCCUGGUCCGUGUAGCCAGUGGGGACCGGGAUUACCCCCGCCGGUCCAAAGGGGAGGGGGAGUAAGAGAUCAAUGAGGUCGCUUGAGGUGUCUCAGUGUUGGGGAGAAUGGCCGUCUCUCCCUGGCUCCAACCCCAGUAGGCCGCACUUGGCGUUUCACGCCCCCGGCCCCGAUGGGCUCCAGAAAGGUGUCCCUCGAUUCAACCGGGCACCCCCGGCAUGGAUGGGGUACCCCGGUGUGUUUUUGGGCUAUUUAUCUGCCCAUUUCACCGUGUUUUCUGCCCGUCGGACCGGAGCUCGCCUCACCCACGUCCGUACAGCUAGG
RNAcentral lists this long non-coding RNA (1574 nucleotides) under Pelobates cultripes (western spadefoot toad). Lineage: Eukaryota; Metazoa; Chordata; Amphibia; Anura; Pelobatidae. The record is from RNAcentral.